RNAcentral lists this ribosomal RNA (468 nucleotides) under uncultured bacterium. RNAcentral describes it as "partial 16S ribosomal RNA". It matches the Rfam family "Bacterial small subunit ribosomal RNA", at positions 28 to 507 of the family's 1533-position model. The record is from RNAcentral.
GACGAACGCUGGCGGCGUGCUUAACACAUGCAAGUCGAACGGAAAGGCCCUGCUUUUGUGGGGUGCUCGAGUGGCGAACGGGUGAGUAACACGUGAGUAACCUGCCCUUGACUUUGGGAUAACUUCAGGAAACUGGGGCUAAUACCGGAUAGGAGCUCCUGCUGCAUGGUGGGGGUUGGAAAGUUUCGGCGGUUGGGGAUGGACUCGCGGCUUAUCAGCUUGUUGGUGGGGUAGUGGCUUACCAAGGCUUUGACGGGUAGCCGGCCUGAGAGGGUGACCGGGCACAUUGGGACUAAGAUACGCCACAGACUCGAACGGGAGGCAGCAGUGGGGAGUAUGGCACAACGGGCGGAAGCCUGAUGCAGCAACGCCGCGGGCGGGAUGACGGCCUUCGGGUUGUAAACCGCUUUCGCCUGUGACGAAGCGUGAGUGACGGUAAUGGGUAAAGAAGCACCGGCUAACUACGUG